UGAAUUGAGACACGAAAUCGAGGUGGUU
Molecule: small RNA, 28 nt
Filed under: Bombyx mori (domestic silkworm)
Lineage: Eukaryota; Metazoa; Arthropoda; Insecta; Lepidoptera; Bombycidae
Description: ovarian small RNA-2159
Source: RNAcentral